Molecule: ribosomal RNA, 254 nt
Filed under: uncultured bacterium
Lineage: Bacteria
Description: partial 16S ribosomal RNA
Rfam family: Bacterial small subunit ribosomal RNA
Source: RNAcentral
UACGUAGGCAGCAAGCGUUGUUCGGAGUUACUGGGCGUAAAGGGUGUGUAGGCGGUUUUCUAAGUCUGGUGUGAAAUCUCCCGGCUCAACUGGGAGGGUGCGCCGAAAACUGGAAGGCUAGAGUGCGGGAUGGGAGAGUGGAAUUCCUGGUGUAGCGGUGAAAUGCGUAGAUAUCAGGAGGAACACCUGUGGUGUAGACGGCUCUCUGGACCGCAACUGACGCUGAGACACGAAAAGCGUGGGUAGCAAACAGG